Long non-coding RNA from Macrobrachium nipponense, 1985 nucleotides. RefSeq lists it as uncharacterized. NCBI's taxonomy places the organism in Eukaryota, Metazoa, Arthropoda, Malacostraca, Decapoda, Palaemonidae. The transcript has 6 exons. The record is from RefSeq and is a predicted model, not a curated record.
AAGUAGUUUAAUAUUUAUCGCAUUAACCCAACGAUAUCUCGAGCGUUGUCAUCCAAUCACGUCACACCAAUGCGCAUGUGCCACAUCUCCCGUGUGUUAAUAGAUGAAGUCUUCUUUCCUACAUUGUUAGGCGUGAGUUGGUUAAGGCGAUUAUCUUUCUGUUACGCAAUUGUUUCUCGUGACAACAAGUUUACUUUCGUCACCACUGAUAAAGCUUUUUCAAAUGCACCCGGGACAAUAACUUUUUUGGAGAAUUGCCGAUGAUUAAGCAAAAUCCUGACCUUCCAGCCCAGGAUCAUCAUUACGGUAUAGGUCACGAACAAUUGUUCAGAGCUAACUAGCGAGAUAUGAGUAGGUUUGAUGAAUCGACUUCUGUUAAGUUCCCGCCAACUUGCCAAGCGUUAGUUUGUGUUUAGACCUUGGUUAUAGUGCAACGGUGUAACUCUUUGUGGAUAUUUGUUGUUACUUGGCGAUAAAAUUAACUGGCGUGGGUUCGCCCGAUGACGGUAAUAGUGAUACAAAGUGAAAACAGCAAGAGAAUGGGAAAAACAGAGCUGCGGAGAGAAAACGUGAAUGUAAUUGUAAACUAAUGCAGGUGGCUGCGAUAAUCAAGAUGGCUGACCUUGUCAAGACAUUUGUGCCUUUACAGUAGUCGCAGAAUUUAGCAAGUUUGAGGAUAUGCAUGAGCUAAAUGAAGAUUUCAAAGGCGCGAGGAUCACUUUAAUUUGCUUUAUAGACAUGAAAAGCUUAACGUUAAUAUACUUAGCAAAUGGCUGGUAGCAAGUCCACAAAACGGUUGUACACCAUUGGUGAUGCAGGAACCACUUCUGGAAAUGUAUAGGCCUAGGCACAUUUUGUUGUUCAUUCACGGCAUUCCACAGAAAAGCUGAAUUAUGGACGCUGAUUGUCUUGCAGAAAUACAUAAUACUGAUGAUCCUACCAAAGAUUGAGGUUAGUCUCAUUGUUAUGAAGUUAGGUAAAUAGACAAAAGUUUAUGAAAAGCAGUUUGCAAAGCUAUGUGAAAAAUGCAAGUUUAUUUGUAUGGCACCAUUUUUAUCAGUAUGCUCAUGAGACUGCUGAUAACUUCAUGAAUUAGGCCGAUCCUGGUAAAAUAUGAAUCUAGGAUGAAGCUCUGGAAACCCUUUUUGUCGUCUACUUGGUGAAAGAAAAAGGAUUAGAAACUGAAAUACCUUAGGCUUAGGCUGUAGGACAGCCGUCGCUUUCCCCGGUUGACGACCUCACAGUGACUACUUUUGCCGCUCGCACCAGACCCCCUAAGCAAGAUUCAGUAAUGGUCACAGAAGCUCAUGUCCCAAGGCAUCAGGCGUUCAGAGGUGGUCGCUCAUCGAAAGACCGUUCGAUGGAAGCCGUUUGGAGAUCAUCGCUCUAAUGGAUGGAAAGGCUCGAAUAAAAUUCGCAGUAACGCGGCCCGUCUGGAUCAGGAAUCUCUGGAAUCGGGGCCUCUGAGGGGAAUAUGGUGACUGAUGAUGGUGAACGCCGGCCUUCGGCUGUCCGGGAGAUGCGUCUAAUUGGGCACUUUGGUAUUACGAAAAGUGUCGAUAUGCAUAGCACGUACAAGCUGGAAGAAGAAGAAGAAGAAGAAGAAGAGGGAGAAGAAGAGUGUUAUACAGCUUAAAAGUUCCUGAUGGAAAAGUUCUAAGAAUCCGAAGUUGAUGUGUAGCACUUUAACAAGGAAGUUCUACAUCUGGCAAGUGGAAUUUUAAGUAUCGAAGGAAUAUUACAAGAUUCCCCCCAAGUAUUCUUCAGUACAAUUUUUUACUAGAAUUUGCCAUUGUAAUCAUUAAUUGUUGUUCAGUGUUAUUUAAAUAUCAAGCUAUUAUGUUAAAUAUGGUAGAGGAUACAUCCUGUUCCUGUCAGUUUUAAUACCAGCCAUCAGGUGAGUUAUAACACUACUAUGAGAUUCAGGGCCUCUGUAACUUUUUAUCUGUGCAUUUCAUAAAUAUAACGCUUAUUCAGAAUACACA